AUUUUUCUUUAAUCUAAUUAAGAUUAAUUCAUUUAACCAAAGUAGAGAAAAUAGAACUGGUGUCAAAAGGGCUUUGAUUUCCCAUUACCCAUUAAUCUACCUGAUUUUUCUCAGAACUUUUUUUUUUUCCAUACAAUAACUUCAUGUGAUGCUUACAAAUGUAAGUAAUUUAUUUUUAGUUUUAUUUUCAGUUUUAUUUUUGUUGUCAACAUGAAGAAUCCUCUUUGAACUUCACUUCUCACAAUUGUACUUCUAACCAGUGGUACUUCUAAUAAGCAUCAUGUACUUGCCCUAAACCUCCACCACCCACUUUGUACAGAUAUUUAAUUAAGAAGAAAAAUGUGACAGGAGGGAAGAUGCUUUGGAAGGACAAGUCAAGGAUUAGAAUUGCCUUGAAGGCUGCUAAUCUUAAUGUAACGGAUGAGGCCAAAACCCAUCUGCAUCUUCACGUUAGAUGAGGACAAAAUCCUUGUUUUUGUUGUUUAGAUGAGCACAUUUCCAGACACUCCACAAAGUAAGAUCUGGUCACAUGUGCAACAACUAACUUACUGCCUCCAUUCAGUAGCAUCCAGCUUCAGUCACUAGAAGCUUCUGAUCCAUCCAGAGUGCCGUCGCUAUGGCGAAACAGUCUAACACUAUGAAAACAUCUGGUAGGCUAGUUAGUUGGAAGCCUAGAAAACACACACUUGUAGUAUUCAAAGUUUUCCUUCAAAAAACAACAGGAGGAGGAGGGCCUGGUGAUGGAGUUUGUAGGUGGGAUCUUAACUUCUCCGCGAAUCCUUCAACUGGGAAUUUUAACGAGAGAGACUUGUUACCGCUGUGGUGGUGCUUCCCCAAAAAUACAGACAACAGUGGUUCGGAUCACUGGACGGCGGAGGGGACUGUGCUUCAGAAAUCAAGACAUAAGCAAUCUUUUUAUAUCCGCUCAGAAGGUUCAAAAGGGUUGCGUUCUCCCAAAAGUCAGCACCGAACCAGGUGACGGAGCUCAUGUGUAUUAAAAAAAAAAAAAAAAAAAAAAAAAAAAGGAAGAAAAAAAAAAGUACUGAUACAACGUCCUUGAGUAGGGUCCUCAAGAUGCUCUACCGUUGUGCCGAUCUAAGAGCAGCCGAGCAGCUGACGAAGGAAGCUCGUUGGGGAGUUUGCAUCCCGAAUCCAUGGAAGAGGCCGAAUUCCUGCGUCUGGUUCCCGGCUCCUCUGGUUUGGGGUCUUCUGAGAGACUUGAAUGGCAGUAGACGCUGCGGUUUCAACUGUUUUGUGGGGUGGAGUGGUUGAGACAACCAUAUCUGGUCCAUUUUGGAAUUUGGCAUCUGAGUUGCUUGAUUUCCCGAAUUUCCUCACACCCGAGCCUGUGAAGGAGGAGAAUGGAGCUGUUGGGUGCACUCGGAAGUCCACCACAGUGGCUAUCACUCAUUGUUCCGCCUUUCAGGCGGCCUAGAAAGAGACUCUGGAAAAAUUUCAAGAUGUGCAGCAGUUGUUCCCAGCUCAACCCAUCUCAGGCUUUGUGUGCACUUCCACCAAUGUGUGUACAAGAGUUAGAUACGCAUGCUGCGAGAGCCAGAGCUAAUUGAGCAUAUUCAUCACGGAGAAGGGAAAGUUCGUGAGAUUUGAAAUGAUCGAAAAUUAGCGGAAGUGCUCAGAUGCGCAGGGUUAGAAAGUAAUCAACUGCUUCCAUCUACUUCUGUGCUUUGUAGGAGUUAGUGCUGGAGACCUCUGAUGAAAUGAUGCAAAUCGUUACAGGAGCGUGCAGGAAAAUUGUGUUCAUACCCACUAUCAACUGAGUAGGAAAGUGAAGUUUCAUUAGAUAGCCUUCCAAGAUUAUCUGCAGGUGAAGGUAGUAGGGGCUACUUCCGUUAAAUUAAGCAAUUCAGCUGGUUUGAUGUGCACAAGGUUGAUGGUUAAAGUGGAAGUGGAAAUUGAAGACUGAACAAGUUUUUUUUUUU
Molecule: long non-coding RNA, 1940 nt
Organism: Physcomitrium patens
Lineage: Eukaryota; Viridiplantae; Streptophyta; Bryopsida; Funariales; Funariaceae
Source: RefSeq, a predicted model, not a curated record